This 424-nucleotide ribosomal RNA is filed under the name Verrucomicrobiota bacterium. RNAcentral describes it as "Verrucomicrobia bacterium partial 16S ribosomal RNA". It matches the Rfam family "Bacterial small subunit ribosomal RNA", at positions 355 to 776 of the family's 1533-position model. The record is from RNAcentral. Lineage: Bacteria; Pseudomonadati; Verrucomicrobiota.
UGAGGAAUAUUGGUCAAUGGACGCAAGUCUGAACCAGCCAAGUAGCGUGCAGGAUGACGGCCCUAUGGGUUGUAAACUGCUUUUAUAUGGGGAUAAAGUGGGGAACGUGUUCCCUUUUGCAGGUACCAUAUGAAUAAGGACCGGCUAAUUCCGUGCCAGCAGCCGCGGUAAUACGGAAGGUCCGGGCGUUAUCCGGAUUUAUUGGGUUUAAAGGGAGCGUAGGCUGUCUAUUAAGCGUGUUGUGAAAUUUACCGGCUCAACCGGUGGCUUGCAGCGCGAACUGGUCGACUUGAGUAUGCAGGAAGUAGGCGGAAUUCAUGGUGUAGCGGUGAAAUGCUUAGAUAUCAUGACGAACUCCGAUUGCGCAGGCAGCUUACUGUAGCAUAACUGACGCUGAUGCUCGAAAGUGCGGGUAUCAAACAGG